UAAUAUACAUAUAUUUCAUUUCAAUAUCAAAUAUUCUCAUCACGAUAUGGCUGAAAUAUUGCUGAUGUGAUGUUAAAUAUUAACUCACUCACUCACUUAUAACUUUGGUUGUAAUUAUGACUUUGGUUUCAUUCAUUUGCUGUAUCAGGAAUGCAUGUCACCACAGUGGUUACAGUUCAGACUGUUCCAUAUGUACAGAUUAUCCAGCAAUAGCAAUCAGCCCUUCCAAAGUACUAUUAUUUUAUUAGAUAUAUUUAGUAAAAGCUGCAACUAAAAUAACUUAAUAUUGGGAUAUGCAAUUUCUAAUAAAAUAACAUUUUCACUUUCACUUAGUAUUGUCUCAAACAUUGUUAUCUGUUAACGGUAAGGUAAAUUGAUAAUUUUGGCCUAAUAUUGUGUUCAAGGCACAGAAAGUUUGUUCACUAAAGGUUCGUUCUUCUUUUUUCAGUCAAUUGAUUACUUCUACAUCUAGUAUUGCAAGAAAUAUUAGGAAGAAAAGGAUAAAGAAUUUCUUUCUGUAUGUUAAAGAAAACAAAACAAAUUUCACGUUUAAGUUUACAUUAUGAGGAUUUAUGAUAAGUAAUGAUAAAAAUAUGUUUUUCAGUAUUUUCAUAUUAGCAAAUUUGUACAGAAAAGAAAUUUGGCCACUGCACUGUAGCCCACAUGCUGAGUGGUCCGAUUCAGCAUGCAACACAUAAUUGACUUAGUGAGUGAGUGAAUUAAGUUUUACCCCGCUCUUAGCAAUAUUUCAGCAAUUCACAGUGGGGGACACCAGAGAUGGGCCUCACUCAAUUGCUUUAGUACAGCAGUUCAGAGUGCAUGUUUAGUCAGUAUACUAGUAAAGGGAUAUACGGCUACAAGGAAGGCAAUUUAUUACAAUUUUUGUUAAAUUAUUGAUAAUAAAAUGGUUGUAACAUAGCAGCUUAUGUUAAAAAAUUAGACUGGAUGAUCCUGUGACAUUCAGUGAUAGACAGUGGUGUUUAGAUGUGUACUAUAUUUAGACUUGUGAGGCAGCAACCUUAUAAGCAUCUCCAUUGACUGAAACAGUGUAUCUGGAAAGAUCAGGUAUUGUUGUACAAAGCAAUCUUAGCACUAAGGGGCCUGUAACUCCCACACUUUAACAUAGUCGUAGCACUAAGGGGCCUGUAACUCCCACACUUUAACAUAGUCGUAGCACUAAGGUUACUUUGUACAACAGCACACUGGUAAUUUUUGUUUAAGUUGUUACCUCUUGCCUCUCACAUUACUGUAAUUGCAUGAACUGUCAAGUAACAAGAAGAUCCAGCAUCGUGUGAGAUGAUGAUUCUACCCAGGAUUAUUCUGCUUUGAUGCCAAUUGGAUUACUGCUGCCGAGAGGUGAAAAAUCAGUCAAUGUCUUUAUUGCUAAUAACUACUGCUCUUGUUGUAUAUUGCAUUUGAAUUUGUACUCGCACUCUGUUUUAUACUUCCAUACUGAUACAUUUGUACUGAUUUGUGAACUUAGUAGAAUACAGUUGUUAAUUCCA
Haliotis rubra (blacklip abalone) is the source of this 1505-nucleotide long non-coding RNA. RefSeq lists it as uncharacterized. The record is from RefSeq and is a predicted model, not a curated record. The transcript is spliced from 2 exons. Lineage: Eukaryota; Metazoa; Mollusca; Gastropoda; Lepetellida; Haliotidae.